GCGGGCAUAGCUCAAUUGGUAGAGCACCAGCCUUCCAAGCUGGGGGUUGUGGGUUCGAGUCUCAUUGCCCGCUCCA
This 76-nucleotide transfer RNA is filed under the name Bacteriovoracales bacterium. RNAcentral's name for it is "tRNA-Gly". It matches the Rfam family "tRNA". From Rfam's summary of the family: Transfer RNA (tRNA) molecules are approximately 80 nucleotides in length. Lineage: Bacteria; Pseudomonadati; Bdellovibrionota; Bacteriovoracia; Bacteriovoracales. The record is from RNAcentral.